Molecule: ribosomal RNA, 478 nt
Filed under: uncultured Saprospiraceae bacterium
Lineage: Bacteria; Pseudomonadati; Bacteroidota; Saprospiria; Saprospirales; Saprospiraceae
Description: bacterial SSU rRNA
Rfam family: Bacterial small subunit ribosomal RNA
Source: RNAcentral
GAUGAACGCUAGCGGGAGGCUUAAUACAUGCAAGUCGAACGGUAAGAUCCAGCUUGCUGGAUACACGAGUGGCGAACGGGUGAGUAACGCGUACACGACCUACCUUUAAGUGGAGAAUAGCCCUGGGAAACUGGGAUUAAUACUCCAUAAUAUUGUAUUUAUAAAUAGGUACAAUUAAAGCUCCGGCGCUUAAAGAUGGGUGUGCGUCUGAUUAGCUAGUUGGUACGGUAAAGGCGUACCAAGGCUACGAUCAGUAGGGGGCGUGAGAGCGUGAACCCCCACACGGGUACUGAGACACGGACCCGACUCCUACGGGAGGCAGCAGUAAGGAAUAUUGGACAAUGGGCGAAAGCCUGAUCCAGCCAUCCCGCGUGCAGGAUGAAGGCCCUCUGGGUUGUAAACUGCUUUUAUAUACCAAGAAUAGCAGUCAUUUAUGAUUGUGUGACGGUAGUAUAUGAAUAAGCACCGGCUAACUCCG